GUUGGCUAUGGGGACAUUUACCCGACAACCCCGCUGGGGAAAGUCAUAGGAAGUGUCUGUUGCAUUUGUGGGGUCCUGGUUAUUGCGCUACCCAUUCCCAUCAUCGUAAACAAU
Molecule: non-coding RNA, 114 nt
Organism: Zootermopsis nevadensis
Lineage: Eukaryota; Metazoa; Arthropoda; Insecta; Blattodea; Termopsidae
Source: Rfam